CACCUCUUUCAUGCCUUCAUGGAUGGUUAAACUGCUCAAGGGCGUCGUGUUGUCUUCUGUAUUCUAUCAACAGACUACAGCGGUUACCUCUCAUCCGAUCAAGCUGAUUAGGAAAUCAUCAUUUGGUCAAAUCAAAGUCAUUAAAACUAAAACGACAGUAAUCUUUUUCUUCCUAGAGAAUCACCGAAAUAAAACGUUUCCUUCUUCACGUUUCCCGUAAAAGGAAAAACGUUUUGACAGAGCCGACCCUAGCGGAAAGUGGUUUCACGUGCAUUCCUCUAUCUCCCCCUUUCGCUUUCGCUUUCAUUUCAUUUCUUUCAUAUUUCAUACCCUUGCUUCAAGAAUUCUGCUGUGACAGUGAAGACCAAAAGAGAAGCUAGCCAUGGAACCCCCUCCAACACAGUCUAUUGAAAUUUCCAGCCAAAACUUCCAAGCUGGGAAUGAUGAUCCACAGGACAAGGCCAUCAAUGAGUGUUGUUCUUGCUGCUAUGAUUGCACAGGAGGCUGCCUCGAUUACUUGUUCUAAAACUUCUGUUGAAUUCUUCAAUAGGAUUACCAUGUAUUAUGGGAAUGCCUCCUUUUGUAAUUCGUGCUUGUAUUAUGGGAAUUUAGCAAGGAAAAAUUUGUGUUUUUAGAGCACUUUUGAGA
Molecule: long non-coding RNA, 648 nt
Organism: Prosopis cineraria
Lineage: Eukaryota; Viridiplantae; Streptophyta; Magnoliopsida; Fabales; Fabaceae
Exons: 2
Source: RefSeq, a predicted model, not a curated record